GUUGAUGUAGCUUAAA
Molecule: transfer RNA, 16 nt
Filed under: Cephalophorus rufilatus (red-flanked duiker)
Lineage: Eukaryota; Metazoa; Chordata; Mammalia; Artiodactyla; Bovidae
Description: Cephalophus rufilatus (red-flanked duiker) partial tRNA-Phe
Source: RNAcentral